GACAGAGGUCCCGAGCGUUAUCCGGAUUUAUUGGGUUUAAGGGUGCGUAGGCGGCCUGUUAAGUCAGGGGUGAAAGACGAUAGCUCAACUAUCGCAGUGCCUUUGAUACUGAUGGGCUUGAAUGUACUUGAGGUAGGCGGAAUGUGACAAGUAGCGGUGAAAUGCAUAGAUAUGUCACAGAACACCAAUUGCGAAGGCAGCUUACUAAAGUAUGUUUGACGCUGAGGCACGAAAGCGUGGGGAUCAAACAGG
This 252-nucleotide ribosomal RNA is filed under the name uncultured bacterium. Its description in RNAcentral is "partial 16S ribosomal RNA". It matches the Rfam family "Bacterial small subunit ribosomal RNA", at positions 524 to 776 of the family's 1533-position model. The record is from RNAcentral.